This 1345-nucleotide ribosomal RNA is filed under the name uncultured bacterium. RNAcentral's name for it is "bacterial SSU rRNA". It matches the Rfam family "Bacterial small subunit ribosomal RNA", at positions 28 to 1381 of the family's 1533-position model. The record is from RNAcentral.
GAUGAACGCUAGCGGGAGGCCUAACACAUGCAAGCCGAGCGGUAUUGUUUCUUCGGAAAUGAGAGAGCGGCGUACGGGUGCGGAACACGUGUGCAACCUGCCUUUAUCUGGGGGAUAGCCUUUCGAAAGGAAGAUUAAUACUCCAUAACAUAUUGAUUGGCAUCAAUUAAUAUUGAAAGCUCCGGCGGAUAGAGAUGGGCACGCGCAAGAUUAGCUAGUUGGUGAGGUAACGGCUCACCAAGGCGAUGAUCGUUAGGGGGCCUGAGAGGGUGAUCCCCCACACUGGUACUGAGACACGGACCAGACUCCUACGGGAGGCAGCAGUGAGGAAUAUUGGUCAAUGGGUGCAAGCCUGAACCAGCCAUCCCGCGUGAAGGACGACUGCCCUAUGGGUUGUAAACUUCUUUUGUAUAGGGAUAAACCUACCCUCGUGAGGGUAGCUGAAGGUACUAUACGAAUAAGCACCGGCUAACUCCGUGCCAGCAGCCGCGGUAAUACGGAGGGUGCAAGCGUUAUCCGGAUUUAUUGGGUUUAAAGGGUCCGUAGGCGGACUUAUAAGUCAGUGGUGAAAGCCUGUCGCUUAACGAUAGAACUGCCAUUGAUACUGUAAGUCUUGAGUAUAUUUGAGGUAGCUGGAAUAAGUAGUGUAGCGGUGAAAUGCAUAGAUAUUACUUAGAACACCAAUUGCGAAGGCAGGUUACCAAGAUAUAACUGACGCUGAGGGACGAAAGCGUGGGGAGCGAACAGGAUUAGAUACCCUGGUAGUCCACGCCGUAAACGAUGCUAACUCGUUUUUGGGCUUUAGGGUUCAGAGACCAAGCGAAAGUGAUAAGUUAGCCACCUGGGGAGUACGCUCGCAAGAGUGAGACUCAAAGGAAUUGACGGGGGCCCGCACAAGCGGUGGAUUAUGUGGUUUAAUUCGAUGAUACGCGAGGAACCUUACCAAGACUUAAAUGGGAAUUGACAGCUUUAGAAAUAGAGCUUUCUUCGGACAAUUUUCAAGGUGCUGCAUGGUUGUCGUCAGCUCGUGCCGUGAGGUGUUAGGUUAAGUCCUGCAACGAGCGCAACCCCUGUCACUAGUUGCCAUCAUUCAGUUGGGGACUCUAGUGAGACUGCCUACGCAAGUAGAGAGGAAGGUGGGGAUGACGUCAAAUCAUCACGGCCCUUACGUCUUGGGCCACACACGUAAUACAAUGGCCGGUACAGAGGGCAGCUACACAGCGAUGUGAUGCAAAUCUCGAAAGCCGGUCUCAGUUCGGAUUGGAGUCUGCAACUCGACUCUAUGAAGCUGGAAUCGCUAGUAAUCGCGCAUCAGCCAUGGCGCGGUGAAUACGUUCCCGGGCCU